Molecule: long non-coding RNA, 1654 nt
Filed under: Homo sapiens (human)
Lineage: Eukaryota; Metazoa; Chordata; Mammalia; Primates; Hominidae
Description: HSALNT0223897
Source: RNAcentral
CAUGGACCACAGGUGGCCCUCAAAUAUGUCCACAUGGAUGAAGUCCCCAUGCCAGCCUGCUGCCUGGAAGGCCAAGGGUGCCUGCCAGCUCUGUGUGUAUCUUCUAGACAUUCCAGAACUGAUGUCAGAUUUGGCUCAUCAGAGUCCACAGACCAUAUCGGUGAAGAAGAUGAAUAGGAUUCCUGUUUAACCCAGAGACACCUAUGUUAAAUGUUUACAUACAGACUAACCCAAAUAUGCAAUUAAACCACACCACUAAAUGGCAAGAUGACCAUGGAUUUAAACAAAAUGUAUCAGGGGGAAAAGGCAACACGUUUAAACCCAUGUGAGGAGCUGGACUUCUGAGACAGCCAUUCUCCUUGCAUAGCACUGUCUGCUGCUACAGCUCAUAGAAGUCAACAAUUUUCUUCAACACUGGUAGGCAGCCUCUAAAUGGCCCUGAUCACCCUCACCUCCUGCCAUUCACACCCUUGUAAAAUUCCACCCCUGGACCUAGUGACUCACUUCUAACAAAGAGAAUACAGCAAAAGUAACAUCGCUUCUGAGGUGAGGCUACAAGGAGACUACGAUGCCUGCCUUGGUCACCCUUCUCCUGCUCUUUCCAUUGCUCCCUCUGAUGGAAGCCAGUUGCCAUGUGAUGAGGUGCCCUAUGGAGAGGCCCACGUGACAAGGUAUUGUAAAAGGCCUCUGACCAAUAGCCAUCUAGAAACGGAGGCCCAGUCCAGCAGCCUCUGAGAUGAUUCCUGCCAAUGUGAGCUUGGAGACAGAUUCUCUCCCUAUCCUGCCUUGGGAUGAUCACAGCCGCCAUCAACACCUUCACUGCCUGGUGAGAGACCAAGCCAGUGAACCCAAGAUAAACUGCACAGAAUUCUGACCCACAGAAACUGUGAGAUAAUGUUUGUUGUUUUAAGCUGCUAAAUUUGUUACAGAGCAAUAGAUAACUAAUUCAAACACCAUAAAAUUCUAACAUUUUAUUCUAUCACACAAACCAAGUAAUACCAAUAAAUGCCAUUACUAUACAUAUAUUUUUGGAACACAAUUACAUGUGAUUUUUUUUGAAAAGCUAAUGAACUAAGCAUUAUGUGCUUUCACCCACUAAUAGACAUUUACUCUGUUGUAGGAUUUUCCAUUAUAAAUUGGAGAAAAGCCAUUAUUAUUAUAUAUUAGCUUCAGAAGAACUAGGUUCAAGUCACGGAAAUCCAUGAACACCGUGGAAAACCAGAAAAACAAGUUGGCCGGGCGCGGUGGCUCACGCCUGUAAUCCCGGCACUUUGGGAGUCCAAGGUGGGUGGAUCACGAGGUUAGGAGAUCGAGACAUCCUGGCCAACAUGGUGAAACCCCUUCUCUACCAAAAUAAAAACAAUUAGCCAGGUGUGGUGGCACGUGCCUGUAGUCCCAGCUACUCAGGAGGCUGAGAGAGGGGAAUCGCUUGAACCCAGGAGGCAGAGGUUUCAGUGAGCUGAGAUGUGCCACUGCACUCCAGCCUGGAGAGAGAGCAAGACCCCAUCUCAAAAAAAAAAAAAAAAAAAAAAAGAAAAGAAAAGAAAAACAAUUUGUAUUGAAGGAGGACAUCAUUAACAGUAUAUCUCUUCAAUAAUGAUUUAUGUUACUAUUCUCAUUCCUCUCUCACAGUGUCCCAAAUCUCUUUACAGGC